GAGAGAGGCCUGCGGCAACAAAAACUGCUAAUUUUCGUCCCCUUGGUUAAAUUCCAAGGCUCACUCG
RNAcentral lists this transfer RNA (67 nucleotides) under Selar crumenophthalmus (bigeye scad). Its description in RNAcentral is "tRNA-Ser". Lineage: Eukaryota; Metazoa; Chordata; Actinopteri; Carangiformes; Carangidae. The record is from RNAcentral.